RNAcentral lists this ribosomal RNA (421 nucleotides) under uncultured bacterium. RNAcentral describes it as "bacterial SSU rRNA". It matches the Rfam family "Bacterial small subunit ribosomal RNA", at positions 362 to 776 of the family's 1533-position model. The record is from RNAcentral.
UCUUCGGCAAUGGACGGAAGUCUGACCGAGCAACGCCGCGUGAGUGAAGAAGGUUUUCGGAUCGUAAAACUCUGUUGCCAGAGAAGAAAGCUAAGGAGAGUCACUGCUCUUUGGUUGACGGUAUCUGAGAAGAAAGCCCCGGCUAACUACGUGCCAGCAGCCGCGGUAAUACGUAGGGGGCAAGCGUUGUCCGGAAUUAUUGGGCGUAAAGCGCGCGCAGGCGGCUGAGUAAGUCUGGUGUUUAAACCUGGGGCUCAACCUCGGGUCGCAUUGGAAACUGCUUGGCUGGAGUGCAGGAGAGGAAAGUGGAAUUCCACGUGUAGCGGUGAAAUGCGUAGAGAUGUGGAGGAACACCAGUGGCGAAGGCGACUUUCUGGCCUGUAACUGACGCUAAGGCGCGAAAGCGUGGGGAGCAAACAGG